UGGGGAAUUUUGGACAAUUGGGCGAAAGCCUGAUCCAGCAAUGCCGCGUGUGUGAAGAAGGCCUUCGGGUUGUAAAGCACUUUUGUCCGGAAAGAAAUCCUUGGCUCUAAUACAGUCGGGGGAUGACGGUACCGGAAGAAUAAGCACCGGCUAACUACGUGCCAGCAGCCGCGGUAAUACGUAGGGUGCAAGCGUUAAUCGGAAUUACUGGGCGUAAGCGUGCGCAGGCGGUUUGCUAAGACCGAUGUGAAAUCCCCGGGCUCAACCUGGGAACUGCAUUGGUGACUGGCAGGCUAGAGUAUGGCAGAGGGGGGUAGAAUUCCACGUGUAGCAGUGAAAUGCGUAGAGAUGUGGAGGAAUACCGAUGGCGAAGGCAGCCCCCUGGGCAAUACUGACGCUCAUGCACG
Molecule: ribosomal RNA, 407 nt
Filed under: uncultured bacterium
Lineage: Bacteria
Description: partial 16S ribosomal RNA
Rfam family: Bacterial small subunit ribosomal RNA
Source: RNAcentral